GACGAACCGUGCGAACGUUGUUCGGAAUCACUGGGCUUAAAGGGCGCGUAGGCGGGUUCGCAAGUCUGUGGUGAAAUCCUCCAGCUUAACUGGAGAAGUGCCGUGGAUACUGCGAGCCUCGAGGAGGGUAGGGGCACCUGGAACAGUAGGUGGAGCGGUAAAAUGCGUUGAUAUCUACUGGAACUCCGGUGGCGAAGGCGAGGUGCUGGACCCUUUCUGACGCUGAGGCGCGAAAGCCAGGGGAGCGAACGGG
RNAcentral lists this ribosomal RNA (253 nucleotides) under uncultured bacterium. Its description in RNAcentral is "partial 16S ribosomal RNA". It matches the Rfam family "Bacterial small subunit ribosomal RNA", at positions 524 to 776 of the family's 1533-position model. The record is from RNAcentral.